This is an RNA transcript of Dermacentor andersoni, 1608 nucleotides long. RefSeq lists it as uncharacterized. The record is from RefSeq and is a predicted model, not a curated record. Lineage: Eukaryota; Metazoa; Arthropoda; Arachnida; Ixodida; Ixodidae.
UUCAGUCUAGACAUACAAUUUUUAUUGUUUAACCUAGACGUAUUGUAACUAAUUUAACGCACGAGAAAGUGGUUGCUGCUGCCAUCUUGCAACAUCGCUGUGAAAAGCACACUGCUCAAAUUGUAAUAACAAAAGGUAAAAAACAUAUUUUUUUACUUUAUCACAAACUUGGUGCAGUUUUAAAGGUUUUUGUUUGACAAUUGUAAAAUGCAAAGAGCACCGCCACACCGCGGCUCGCUCAAUGGCUGCGUACGCGCGUACUCUGAUCAAGACGACUUCCAAGUCGGCCGAUGCAAUGGCGGGACCGCCCGAAGAUGUCGACGCCGUCGACUUGAAGAUGACAUUGCUCGAGUUUCGCCUGAGCGCUGGUCUGUCGAAGGGCGAAGCGAGUCGGAAGCUGGCCAGCGCGUGCCGGCGAGCGGCAGCGAUCGGACUUGCGGCAAACACACUUUCGGAGCCGCCGCGCCUGAGUCUGGGCUGUCCCGUGUUGGACGAAUACCUCGACGGCGGCCCAAGCACUCGCGGCCUGAUCGAGCUGUGCGGCGAAAGUGGCAGCGGCAAGACGCAGCUGUGCCUCCAGGCGUCCCUCGCAGCCACCGCCGGCGGCAACGACGCUCACGUUCUCUACAUAUGCACCGAGGAGCGCUUUCCCGAGAAGCGCCUGCGCCAGAUGGACCCGAGCGCAGUACGCGGAGAGCGCGUGCUCGUGGCCCAGCUGGGGGAGUGGCCCAUGCUUAUUCAGUGCCUGGAAGGCUCGCUGCCGGGCUUACGUCGCACGAGGCGCAUCACGCUUCUGGUGAUCGACUCGGUCGCUGCGCUCCUGCGCGCGGACCCGGAGCGCGCCCAGGGCCUGCGGCGUCUGGGCGCACUUCUGGACGGCCUCUGGCGAUCGGGUGUCGCGGUACUGUGCGUCAACCAGGUGACGGACGUGCCCGGAGGUCGCACGGCGCCCAGCCUGGGGCCCGGCUGGGCGAACCUGGUCACCACUCGCCUCGUGACCAGUCGGUCGCCGUCGGGAGUCCGCGCCCUGCGUGUAGCCUUCGCACCUUCGAUGUCGCCGAGAGAACCGUGUCGGUUUGCCAUCACUGCGGAUGGCGUGCGGGGGGUGCGGUAGAAGACGCGACGGUUCGUUUGUACCGGUGUCGACCGCUCCCGUGAGGCCAGUGAGCCAGUUCGACGGCCCGUGAGAUGGGAAAGUGCAAUGUGUGUGAGUGACCGCGCACGGUACGCCUUAACCGUGUCUAACGUGGCGCGUGAAGUGGGUCGAAACCCUAAGCGUAAAAACUAAGUGAAAGUAUCGAAUGGACUACUAUAGUGCGAAACUAACUGUGAUAAAGCUGUGAAGUGUGGUUUCCACUCUGCUCUGCAUCCUAAUCUUUUUGUAGGACAAGGGCCUCCUACAUGUCCUGCAGCAGCUUGAAGCACUAGUGACUGGAGAUGUGACUCCAACCAUGCCAGGUGAAAUGCGUAGUUGAGUAAUGAGGAGAAGGUUUUUGCUGCCACUGUGAAAGCAUGGUAGUUUGAACCAUCAUCAAACUUCGUUGCAAUGCUGGCGAUCGGCUGGCUUGUGGCACGAGAAAAUGCCUUGUUGAUUCUGCUGCAACGGAU